CCACAUGGCCUCUGGCUGCUGGCUGUCCUUUGCCUCAUUCUACUACCAUCCCAGUGUCUUUAGCCUUGCAAAACAGCCUGCCCAUCCCGACCGCACCCUGUGGUAAGCACUCAGGAGGCUGAAGCAAGAUGAUCAUCAUAGUGAGUUCAAGAGCGUCUGGACUAUCAAAGUGUCUUGACAAGAACUAACCGGGCCUCAAGCAUCGAUUGCAACCUUGGAUCCCAGAUCUAAUCUCCAAGAAAUGGGGAGAUCCACCAUAACUGUUGGACCAAAUGCAACAGAGAGAGAAAGAGAGAGAGAGAGAGAGAGCAUUCAUUACUCUCUACUUUCUCACUUUGGAUGCAGUGUGGUCAGCCACUUCUGUUCCUGCCACCAAACCUUACCCAGCAUCGUGACAGACAGGAUGGUAUCUCCUGGAACUGUGAUCCAAAACAAACUCUUCACUACAAUGAUCUUAUCAGUUCCAGAAGGGUAAGAGUCCAUCACCAUCAUAGUAGAACCAUCCUAGUAGCAAGCAGGCAUGGUGACUGCAGCAAGGAUACUGAGAGCUUGAACCACAAGCAUGGAGUGGAGAGAACUGGGAAUGAUGCAAAUCUUCAAACUCUCAAGGCCCAUCUCCAGUGACAUACUUCCUCCAACAAAUCCACACCUCCUAACCACCCCCAAACAGUGCCACCAUCCGGGGAACAAGUGUUCAAAUACAUAAC
This is a non-coding RNA of Cricetulus griseus (Chinese hamster), 707 nucleotides long. The record is from RefSeq and is a predicted model, not a curated record. Lineage: Eukaryota; Metazoa; Chordata; Mammalia; Rodentia; Cricetidae.